UUUGAAGCGUAAACAUUGAAUGCGUGCUCCAAGUGGGCCAUUUUUGGUAAGCAGAACUGGCGCUGUGGGAUGAACCAAACGUCGAGAUAAAGUGCCAAACUUUUCGCUCAUGAGAUCCCAUGAAAGGCGUUGGUUGAUAUAGACAGCAGGACGGUGGCCAUGGAAGUCGGAAGCCGCUAAGGAGUGUGUAACAACUCACCUGCCGAAUCAACUAGCCCUGAAAAUGGAUGGCGCUUGAGCGAGAGACUUAUACUCGACCGUUGCUCGGCUUGUGUACAAAACAAAAUCAUAUCUACGGAGAAAAAAAAAAAAAAAAAAGGAAAUGUUACCUGGCCGCAACGAGUAAGAGGGUCGCAGUGGUUAGCGCUGAAAACUUUGGGCGUAGGCCCAGUUGGAGCUUCCACUGGUGCAGAUCUUGGUGGUAGUAGCAAAUAUUCAAGUGAGAUCCUUGAAGACUGAAGUGGAGAAGGGUUCCUCGUGAACAGCAGUUGGAUGCGGGUCAGUCGAUCCUAAGAUAUUGGCUAAUGCCUUGUUUUUCUAAAUGAGAGACGGAGAUCAAAUCCAUCUCGGCAAUCGAAAGGGAAACGGGUUUAUAUUCCCGUACCUGGACACGGAGAUUAAAUACUCAUAGCGGGUAUUUAGCGCGGUAACGCAAACGAACUCGGAGACAUUGAGCAGAGCCCGAGCCAGAGUUCUCUUUUCUGGUUAAGGAACGGACUCCCUGGAAGCGGUUCAGCCGGCGAUAGGGACGUUGUUUCCGUAAAGCGCCACGGUUCCUGUGGCGUCUCGUGCACUCUGCUUGAUCCAUGAAAAUCCGAGGGAGGCAAUUUGAAUUUCGUGCCAGAUCGUACCGAUAUCCGCAGCAGGUCUCCAAGGUGAACAGCCUCUAGUCGAUAGAAUAAUGUAGGUAAGGGAAGUCGGCAAAUUAGAUCCGUAACUUCGGGAAAAGGAUUGGCUCUAAGGACUGGGUCGGUCGGGCUGCAGCGUGAAGUGAGUGCGGUUUGAUCCGUGCAGUGCUAAUGCAUAUUGGUUGCACAAAAUUUCUUGAUCUCUGGAAAGAAAUUUUUGCUCGAUACCAUCAUUUUUGAGUUUGGAAGAGAUGUGCAUAUAUUUGUGUGUGUGUAUGUGUAUGUGUAUAUAUGUUAUAUAUAUAUAUAUACAUGUAUGAUACAUGUAUGUGUAUAUGGUGAUUUAUGAUUUGUUUGUUUCUUCCAAUUUUUUGUUCACCAAAGAUUGGAGGAGCAGCGCAGAUUGGAUUACCCUCUAUACACAUAUAUCUAAAAUGUGUUGUACACAUAUGUAUAUGUACAUAUAUAUCACAUGCAUAUAUCAUGCAUUUGUGUAUGUUCAAAUUGUCCAUUCUUGAAAUGGUGUGUUUAUUGAGUCAAAAAGCUCAUUUCUUUUUCUUCGAGUGAAAAGGAAUGUGUCCAAUAGAUGUGUUUGGCUCGGCUAGUGUUUGAACUGUCUUAUGGACCACUGCAGCUGUGUAUUGGUUCACUUUAAUUUUUGUUUUGGUGCCAAUACUUCGUCCGGCGCUAAACAGUCAACUUAGAACUGGCACGGACUCGGGGAAUCCGACUGUCUAAUUAAAACAGAGGAGACAGAUGGUCCUUGCGGACGUUGACUGUCUCUGAUUUCUGCCCAGUGCUCUGAAUGUAAAAGUGAAGAAAUUCAACCAAGCGCGGGUAAACGGCGGGAGUAACUAUGACUCUCUUAAGGUAGCCAAAUGCCUCGUCGGCCAAUUACCGACGCGCAUGAAUGGAUUAUCGAGAUUCCCACUGUCCCUAUCUACUAUCUAGCGAAAUCACAGCCAAGGGAACGGGCUUGGUGAACACAGCGGGGAAAGAAGACCCUGUUGAGCUUGACUCUAGUCCGACUCUGUGAAGAGUCAUGAGAGGUGUAGCAUAAGUGGGAGGUAUUGUUUUGUUUUUGGGAAUGUGAAAUAUCAUCUCCUGGGAAUAUGAUACCGACAGUGAAAUACCACUACUUUCAUCGAUUCUUUACUUAUUCGGUAAGACGAGAAUUGAACCGAAGACGGUUCUUGUUUCUGGUAUAAAGUGCGGUUGCUUGGUGACCGUACGACUCGCGCCGAAGACAGUGUCAGGCGGGGAGUUUGACUGGGGCGGUACAUCUGUCAAAUGGUAACGCAGGUGUCCUAAGGCUAGCUCAGAGAGGACGGAAACCUCUCGUAGAGUAAAAGGGCAAAAGCUCGCUUGAUCUUGAUUUCCAGUACGAAUACAGACCGCGAAAGCGUGGCCUAUCGAUCCUUUUGAAUUUUUCUUAGAAGGUCUCUAGCAAGAGGUGUCAGAAAAGUUACCACAGGGAUAACUGGCUUGUGGCAGCCAAGCGUCCAUAGCGACGUUGCUUUUUGAUCCUUCGAUGUCGGCUCUUCCUAUCAUUGCGAAGCAGAAUUCGCCAAGCGUUGGAUUGUUCACCCACCAAUAGGG
RNAcentral lists this ribosomal RNA (2447 nucleotides) under Dispharynx nasuta. Its description in RNAcentral is "partial large subunit ribosomal RNA". It matches the Rfam family "Eukaryotic large subunit ribosomal RNA", at positions 1094 to 2948 of the family's 3401-position model. Lineage: Eukaryota; Metazoa; Nematoda; Chromadorea; Rhabditida; Acuariidae. The record is from RNAcentral.